RNAcentral lists this ribosomal RNA (226 nucleotides) under uncultured bacterium. RNAcentral describes it as "partial 16S ribosomal RNA". It matches the Rfam family "Bacterial small subunit ribosomal RNA", at positions 122 to 334 of the family's 1533-position model. The record is from RNAcentral.
CGACCUUGCCUGGUGGUGGGGGGAUAGCCGGCCCAACGGCCGGGUAAUACCGCAUAGGGUGGUUUCUUCGCAUGGAGAGACUAGCAAAGCCCUGGAGCAAUCCAGUGGCGCCACAGGGGGGCUCGCGGCCUAUCAGCUAGUUGGCGGGGUAAUGGCCCACCAAGGCGACGACGGGUAGCUGGUCUGAGAGGAUGGCCAGCCACAUUGGGACUGAGAAACGGCCCAG